CAUGGCAAUGGUUAUAAAGGAGCAGAUUUUCCAAACUGGUGUUUCAAGGAACAUUCUUUGGCAGGAUGUUAAAAACAGGAAACAGCAAGCCUGAAAAAGGAAAUUGACGAAGAAACAAUUUGGUUAUUCUUGACUCAGUGGCCAAGGAGGGAACACAGAUGCAAGGAAGACUGGGAAAUGCAGUAUACAGCUGGAGACAUCAUUGCCCUAAAUAAAAAUAGGACUCUUACCAAGAAGGGAGAGGAGAAUGGAUAUUGGGUGGCAUCACAGUCUCUCACACCUGAGCAUCUGAUUCUGUCAGAAGUUAAAUGAUGACCUCUCCUGUGGAUCCCUGGGUUCUUAUGAAGCAUGAGUAUAAUACAAGAUGUCAACAGGUAUUGCAAAGAUACUUAUGGAGCACCCCCAUGUUUGAGGAGCUGUGCGAGGCCUUGGAGUUGAAGCCGUGAGUAGAAAGACAAAGGCUCGGGCUCAGGAGCUUAUAUUCUAGUGAGAAGAGUGACAAUGAAGAUGCAGCUGCCAGGAUCUACCACAACCUGUACAGGAUGUUUUGGGACAGCGACUUGGAGCAGCAUUUGGUGGGAGAGGACGGAAGCUGUGAGACGUCAGCUCUGAGCCCUGAGUCCAGGGCUGGUCCUGUGGAGACAGGGGUUGCUAUGUCAUGAGCAGUGUGUGUGUGAG
RNAcentral lists this long non-coding RNA (678 nucleotides) under Homo sapiens (human). RNAcentral's name for it is "HSALNT0393858". The record is from RNAcentral. Lineage: Eukaryota; Metazoa; Chordata; Mammalia; Primates; Hominidae.